RNAcentral lists this ribosomal RNA (253 nucleotides) under uncultured bacterium. RNAcentral's name for it is "partial 16S ribosomal RNA". It matches the Rfam family "Bacterial small subunit ribosomal RNA", at positions 524 to 776 of the family's 1533-position model. The record is from RNAcentral.
GACGUAGGAGGCGAGCGUUGUCCGGAUUCAUUGGGCGUAAAGAGCACGCAGGCGGUUUGGCAAGUCGGAUGUGAAAACCCGAAGCUCAACUUCGGGCCUGCAUCCGAAACUGCCCGACUAGAGGUAGGUAGGGGAGAUCGGAAUUCCUGGUGUAGCGGUGAAAUGCGCAGAUAUCAGGAGGAACACCGGUGGCGAAGGCGGGACUCUGGGCCGAUACUGACGCUGAGGAGCGAAAGCGUGGGGAGCGAACAGG